Molecule: long non-coding RNA, 215 nt
Filed under: Sorghum bicolor (sorghum)
Lineage: Eukaryota; Viridiplantae; Streptophyta; Magnoliopsida; Poales; Poaceae
Description: long non-coding RNA (SBIC_LNC010365)
Source: RNAcentral
CCUUGGUCACUAUCACUUCUUUCUUGUUGAAUAUGCAUUGAAAGCCAAGAUCACAAAGUUGUCCAACCGAGAUCAAGUUGAAGCCUAAUGAAGACACAUAGAGCACAUUGGUGAUUGCGUUGUCAAUUGAUAUAGCAAUCUUUCCUAGACCCUUGACAUUGCCUUUUGAAUUGUCACCAAAUGUAAUCUUCUCUUGAUUGUCUACAUCUUCAUCA